UUAGAGAUAGUUGUGUUAAUAAAUAAAUUUUUUGUGUUUACAAAAAUGGAUGAUUUAUUAUUGAGCACAUUAGGAAAUGCGAUUACUUUGGCAGAAACUACAAGUAGUAGUAAUAGCUUAACAAUUGCUAAAAAUUUUAUAAAAAACCAACAGAGGUUGUCUGUCUUAGCUUACCGAUGUGAAAAUAAAAGACGAGUUUUAAAAAUUAAAAACUUUUCAAAGAGCAUUGCGGGUAUGCAGAAUGAUGUUUUUCAUUCACAUUUUCGAAUGGAAAAAUCAACAUUUAAGAUUCUUCUGAACAUGUUGAAACCAUACUGGGUGUCAAAGUGCACUGGUCGUAAUGGAGUUUCGUUGGAAAACGCGCUGUACGCAACUAUAUGGAAACUUAGCAACAACACAUCAUUUAGAGAUGUUAGCAACAGAUUCGAUAUGGCAAUGGGAACCAACUAUAAACUAUUUAUUAGAACCCUAAAACAAUUUGUUGCUUAAAAAAAGAUGUCAUAAAAUUUCCAAAUACUGUUGCAGAACGAAAACAAAAAUGUGACGAAUUUUCAGCUAAACGCAGCCAUCCGUUCCCAUAUGUCAUAGGUUGUAUAGAUGGUACGCACAUUUCCAUCUCACAACCAGUUGAGGACAGUAUUUGUUUUUAUAAUAGGAAGGGGAAGUUUUCAAUUGUUGUCCAAGAAAUUGUGGGUAGUCAUCUUAAGUUCAUAGAUGUGUUUAUUGGCUGCCCCGGACGAUGCCACGAUGCUGCUAUAUGGGAAAUGAGUCCUAUUAGAAAGUCAAUAGUCAAGGGAGAAUUAAAAAUUUGUUCCGGUUACCAUUUAUUAGGCGAUUCCGCAUAUCCGCUGGAAACCUUCCUAAUGGUACCUUAUAGAGACCUAAAGUAGUUCAAUAUAACAAAAUUUUAUGCUCAACAAGAGUUCAUAUAGAACAGGCAUUUGGAAUAUUGAAAAAAAAUUCCGUAUUUUGAAAUAUAUUGAUGUGCUACAUGCACAUUUACCAAAAACUAUCACGAUGGCCUGUAUAAUUCUUCAUAAUAUUAUUAUCGAAAAUGAGACUAAUGAACCCUGCGUCAUAAGUGAAGAAGAACAAGUUGAACCAUUUAAUAUCGAAAAUAGCUUUUCACAAUUACCAACUACAAGUCGACAGAGAGAACAACCCAAAAAUAAACGGGACGCCAUUGCCACUUUACUAUCUGCAUAAGUAAUGAAAUAUUAACUGUUUUUUUAAGUAAUAAAACAUGAAUUUGAUAUAAAACUA
Bactrocera tryoni is the source of this 1263-nucleotide long non-coding RNA. RefSeq lists it as uncharacterized. The record is from RefSeq and is a predicted model, not a curated record. NCBI's taxonomy places the organism in Eukaryota, Metazoa, Arthropoda, Insecta, Diptera, Tephritidae. The transcript has 3 exons.